UUGGUUAGUCAGCACGAGCGCACCCUGUGAACUGUUGCCAGCACGUAAAGGUGGGGACUCUGUUCAGACCGCCGGUAUCAAACCGGAGGAAGGUGGGGACGACGUCAAGUCAGUAUGGCCCUUACGCCUGGGGCUGCACACGUACUACAAUGCCCAGUACAAUGAGAACCGAGACCGCGAGGUGGAGGAAAUCUGCAAAACUGGGCCCAGUUCGGAUUGGAGGCUGCAACUCGCCUCCAUGAAGCCGGAAUCGCUAGUAAUGGCUCAUCAGCAACGGAGCCGUGAAUACGUUCCCGGGUCUUGUACACACCGCCCGUCACAUCAUGGAAGCCGGUCGCAGGCGAAGUGCAUGCGCUAACCUUCGGGAAGCAAUGCCCUAACUUGUAGCUGGUAACUGGGAUGAAGCCGUAACAAGGUAGCCGUAGGGGAACCUGCGGCUGGAUCACCUCCUUUCU
This 455-nucleotide ribosomal RNA is filed under the name uncultured bacterium. RNAcentral's name for it is "bacterial SSU rRNA". It matches the Rfam family "Bacterial small subunit ribosomal RNA", at positions 1077 to 1533 of the family's 1533-position model. The record is from RNAcentral.